UUUCACGAUACUAAAUAAAAACAAUAAUAAAAAGGAAGUGGACUAUUAUUUGUUUUGUUUUUUACAACAACUGGCCAAUCAAAACACUUACAUUACCGAAAUCCAAUUCUAAUUAAAUCGAGUGGUAGCGAUAGCUUAAUUUUUUAUUUUCAAAAAAAAAGGGGGGGGGGGUCCAUAAUAAACAACAAUCGGAAUGUUGUGAUUAAUGGGAGGGGAAAGCUCGGCAAGUUUGGAGGACCCUCUUCCGUAGUUGAAUAAACGAUCGUGAUCGAUGAUGGAAACAAAAAUUUUUUUUUUUGUUUUGUUUGCAUCCGUCAACAUUUUCGAUUUGUUGGCCAUCAAGUGAAUCAAUAAAACUAACCCCACCCCAUCGUUUAGUGGCCAGUUUUAUUUUUUUGCUGCAAAUAGAGAUAAGAGGAAAGUUGGGUCCUUUUCCUUUAUCGUUCACAAACAUUUUCCACGGCAACGUCAUUUGCAUUUCUAAGUCGCCCUUUCCGCAAUCUAUCACGAUUUUUUUUUGUCUUGUUUUCGCGGAAUUUUGAUCCCCCCCACUCAGACGGAGCGAGACUAUGCGCAGUAGCAGAUCGAUGGUUUCGCUUCAUCCCUUUUAUCAAUUAGCUUAUCUAGCGUUAAUUUCCAAAGUUGCAUAGGCAGCCAGUUGGUAGUGAAAAACUUUUUUCUUUUAUUUCGCCAUUCCCCUGCGUUUGACGUCUGUCGUCUAAUUAAAAGAAAACAAGCCCUUUUUUACAGCAAGGGCGUUCGUUACCAUACGAAAGAAUGGAUAAAAAUAAUUCGAUAUCGGAUCUUUCUUUUCUUAGUUUUUUUUUUUCUGGUUCCAAGAUUAGUUCAACUGAUACUGAAGUUCUUCCUUUCUUGUUAUUUACUCGGCUCCUGUCUGUCCCUCUGUUGGGGUUGUCAUAGUGGGCGGGUCCCGUCCCAACCUUUCAGUCGAUGUCGAGCAGUCACAGCGAACAGAGUCGUGUCCUCUCAAUUGGCCCCAAGUGUUUUUUCUUUUCUUUCUUUUUUUUUUGGCGUGAACAUGCGACUACCGUGUAAAAGUGACGUCAUUUCACUGUGUGUGUCAUACCUAACGAUCAGCUGAUAUCGUCAUCAUCCAGUGGUUUAGUUUUUUUUUUUCCCCUAUUCAAUCUGGAACAGACAACGGUUUGUUUGGCUGGGAAUUUCCUCGGCUCUGGCCCAUUGAAAAUGAAGAGCAAUCCGAUGACUUGGACACAAGUGUGAGCCGGGAAUUAUUAUUAUUAUUUUUUAACGUUCGUGUAUUUACGCGUGACGCAUCUCGUGGGGAAAACAAGAUUCAGCCCCCGUGUAUUAGUCGUCCACACCUGCCGGGACUCCUUCUCUGUGUGUGUGCGGUGUGUGUGUGUACUUUUUCCCGUGCGCUAUAUAAAACACCAAGUGGCCAUUACGAUCUCAGGGACAGUGCGCAUAAUUUAAUCGCUAGCCGAAAAUGACGGCACUAGGUCGGCUGUACCGUCGUCUGCGUGCACGCUUACGCAAUUCCAAUGGUUUAUUUCGCUGGCCGUGCCAUCAGAAAAGAUUAUUGUUAUUAUUGAACACAACACAGGCAGAGAGGGCGUAACAAUCGCAUAGACGAAAUAAAGAAAAGAAAAGAAAAUGGAACUAACGUCAUCAGUGUGUAGCGGUAAUUUCUGGAGUGUUUCUCCAGAGAGUGGUUUCAGUUGAUUCAAUCACACCCAGAGGUUGGAAGGUUUGAUUCUUUUUUUUUCUUUCUCCGCGUCAUCUCACAGGAUUUUUAUUUUGCCCUGCAGGUCUACACAAAACGUCACGAGACUUUGACACUAAACGAAAGAAAAGAUUGGAUAGCAAACUCGUUAUUUAUUUUUUUUAAGGAAAGAUAAAACUAACAAAA
This 1891-nucleotide long non-coding RNA is filed under the name Daphnia magna. RNAcentral describes it as "uncharacterized LOC123477034". Lineage: Eukaryota; Metazoa; Arthropoda; Branchiopoda; Diplostraca; Daphniidae. The record is from RNAcentral.